Long non-coding RNA from Pieris brassicae (large cabbage white), 630 nucleotides. RefSeq lists it as uncharacterized. The record is from RefSeq and is a predicted model, not a curated record. The transcript has 4 exons. NCBI's taxonomy places the organism in Eukaryota, Metazoa, Arthropoda, Insecta, Lepidoptera, Pieridae.
CAUCGUGAGGAAACCGGCUGUACUCUUUACCAACAAUAGACUUUUCUAAUUUAGACGAUUUAGAAAAUUGUCGCAUUUAAAAUCGAGAAAAAGUAAAAUUUUGAGUGCUUUUUAACAGUCGUGGUCUAAAGAAAAUUCACGAUUAUUUACAAAGUUCUAUUUAAAUACACUCGGGCCAUAUGAUCCGGUAUGGAAAAACUACGAAUUGUGCAAGGGACCCAAAUUUAAAAACGUUUCUGAGACGGACGUCGUUGUAUUUCAACAAGGCAAAGACUAUUAUGGGACUUUUAAAUUUAAGUUUUUAACUCGCAGUUUAGUGGAUGAGAUAAGACUAUGGCUCUAUUCGAUAGUCGGCGAAACAAGGAAACAACUGUGGUCACACAAAUUAUCAGAUCCCUGUAAAAAUUUUGUAUUUGCUGAACUGAUACAGGAGCAGCUAAAUUCGACUAAAUGCAUUGUUGAAAAGACAAGCUAUAAUAAAACCGUGAACUUCACAGAAACAACUAGAAAACUUCUCGGACCAUCAUUUUUCUACGGAAAUUAUUCUAUGAAAGUUGUUAUGUCUUCGAAAAAUGCAAAUAUUUUGUGUUUGCUGUUACAUAUUGAAUUACUUAAUAAAAGUAAAUUAAA